UGGGGAAUAUUGCGCAAUGGGGGGAACCCUGACGCAGCCAUGCCGCGUGAACGAAGAAGGCCUUAGGGUUGUAAAGUUCUUUCGGUAUUGAGGAAGGUUGAUGUGUUAAUAGCACAUCAAAUUGACGUUAAAUACAGAAGAAGCACCGGCUAACUCCGUGCCAGCAGCCGCGGUAAUACGGAGGGUGCGAGCGUUAAUCGGAAUAACUGGGCGUAAAGGGCACGCAGGCGGUUAUUUAAGUGAGGUGUGAAAGCCCCGGGCUUAACCUGGGAAUUGCAUUUCAGACUGGGUAACUAGAGUACUUUAGGGAGGGGUAGAAUUCCACGUGUAGCGGUGAAAUGCGUAGAGAUGUGGAGGAAUACCGAAGGCGAAGGCAGCCCCUUGGGAAUGUACUGACGCUCAUGUGCGAAAGCGUGGGGAGCAAACAGGAUUAGAUACCCUGGUAGUCCACGCUGUAAACGCUGUCGAUUUGGGGGUUGGGGUUUAACUCUGGCGCCCGUAGCUAACGUGAUAAAUCGACCGCCUGGGGAGUACGGCCGCAAGGUUA
RNAcentral lists this ribosomal RNA (547 nucleotides) under uncultured bacterium. RNAcentral describes it as "bacterial SSU rRNA". It matches the Rfam family "Bacterial small subunit ribosomal RNA", at positions 355 to 896 of the family's 1533-position model. The record is from RNAcentral.